RNAcentral lists this ribosomal RNA (301 nucleotides) under uncultured bacterium. Its description in RNAcentral is "partial 16S ribosomal RNA". It matches the Rfam family "Bacterial small subunit ribosomal RNA", at positions 509 to 807 of the family's 1533-position model. The record is from RNAcentral.
CAGCAGCCGCGGUAAUACGAAGGGUGCAAGCGUUAAUCGGAAUUACUGGGCGUAAAGCGUGCGUAGGCGGUGAGUUAAGUCUGCUGUGAAAUCCCCGGGCUCAACCUGGGAAUGGCAGUGGAUACUGGCUCGCUAGAGUGUGUCAGAGGAUGGUGGAACUCCCGGUGUAGCGGUGAAAUGCGUAGAGAUCGGGAGGAACACCAGUGGCGAAGGCGGCCAUCUGGGACAACACUGACGCUGAGGCACGAAAGCGUGGGGAGCAAUCAGGAUUAGAUACCCCCGUAGUCCCUGUCUCUUAUAC